GCUUGAGUAGCUCAGUUGGUUAGAGUGUGGCUGUUAACCACUAGGUUGAGGGUUCAAGCCCUUCUUCUAGCG
This 72-nucleotide transfer RNA is filed under the name Thalictrum thalictroides. It matches the Rfam family "tRNA". From Rfam's summary of the family: Transfer RNA (tRNA) molecules are approximately 80 nucleotides in length. Their secondary structure includes four short double-helical elements and three loops (D, anti-codon, and T loops). The record is from Rfam by way of RNAcentral. Lineage: Eukaryota; Viridiplantae; Streptophyta; Magnoliopsida; Ranunculales; Ranunculaceae.